This 511-nucleotide long non-coding RNA is filed under the name Solanum tuberosum (potato). RNAcentral's name for it is "long non-coding RNA (STUB_LNC006580)". The record is from RNAcentral. Lineage: Eukaryota; Viridiplantae; Streptophyta; Magnoliopsida; Solanales; Solanaceae.
AAAAAUGAAUCCAUCCAAAAAAGAAAGCAACUUUUUCAGAAACUCAGUACAAACAUAGCUUUACAAUUAGCUAAAAUUCUUCAUAAAUAAAAAAAUAAUUAUCAAAUCUUUAUGAAUCUAACAUAAAAAGAAAUCAUCUUUUUUAGAUUUCCAAGAUGGGUAUCUCAAAAAUAACCUUAAAUUUCCUUUCUCUAUCAAACUUCAUAAAAAUUGAUCCAAAAAUUUCAGUUGCAGAUAACAAAAAAAAACCAGAAUUCAUAAUAUAUAUAUAGCUUGAAAACUCAAAAUUUAGUGGAUCAGAGCACUUCUAAUUCAAAAGGGAUUGUUUAUUUUUCCAAAUCUGACGAUAUUAUUGAAGAUCCGUCUCCUCCAUGGGUAUAUUUUCGCAUUGGUCUGAAGGUCGUCUGACCGUCGCUGGCGGCACUAUGGCCAUUCCGGUGGAACUGUCAGCCUGCGCUCUUAGUUACCAGAGCACAUUGCUAAUGGAGAAGGAUUGAAAAUGAGAAAGGAG